GAUGAACGCUAGCGGCAGGCUUAAUACAUGCAAGUCGAACGGUAACAGGUCUUCGGACGCUGACGAGUGGCGCACGGGUGAGGAACACGUACACAAUCUACCUUAUACUGGAGAAUAGCCCCGGGAAACUGGGAUUAAUACUCCAUAGUCUUUAAUGAUCACAUGAGAAAUAAAGUAAAGCUUCGGCGGUAUAAGAUGAGUGUGCGUCCCAUUAGAUUGUUGGCGAGGUAACGGCUCACCAAGUCGACGAUGGGUAGCUGGCGUGAGAGCGCGACCAGCCACACUGGCACUGAGACACGGGCCAGACUCCUACGGGAGGCAGCAGUAGGGAAUAUUGGUCAAUGGACGAAAGUCUGAACCAGCCAUGCCGCGUGGAGGAUGACUGCCCUCUGGGUUGUAAACUCCUUUUAUUACAGGAAGAAACAACUCUACGUGUAGAGUCUUGACGGUACGUGUA
This 457-nucleotide ribosomal RNA is filed under the name uncultured bacterium. RNAcentral's name for it is "bacterial SSU rRNA". It matches the Rfam family "Bacterial small subunit ribosomal RNA", at positions 28 to 483 of the family's 1533-position model. The record is from RNAcentral.